RNAcentral lists this ribosomal RNA (749 nucleotides) under Paenibacillus amylolyticus. Its description in RNAcentral is "bacterial SSU rRNA". It matches the Rfam family "Bacterial small subunit ribosomal RNA", at positions 53 to 782 of the family's 1533-position model. Lineage: Bacteria; Bacillati; Bacillota; Bacilli; Caryophanales; Paenibacillaceae. The record is from RNAcentral.
ACAUGCAAGUCGAGCGGAGUUGAUAGGAAGCUUGCUUCUUUGAUACUUAGCGGCGGACGGGUGAGUAACACGUAGGCAACCUGCCCUCAAGUUUGGGACAACUACCGGAAACGGUAGCUAAUACCGAAUAGUUGUUUUCUUCGCCUGAAGGAAACUGGAAAGACGGAGCAAUCUGUCACUUGGGGAUGGGCCUGCGGCGCAUUAGCUAGUUGGUGGGGUAACGGCUCACCAAGGCGACGAUGCGUAGCCGACCUGAGAGGGUGAUCGGCCACACUGGGACUGAGACACGGCCCAGACUCCUACGGGAGGCAGCAGUAGGGAAUCUUCCGCAAUGGGCGAAAGCCUGACGGAGCAAUGCCGCGUGAGUGAUGAAGGUUUUCGGAUCGUAAAGCUCUGUUGCCAGGGAAGAACGCUUGGGAGAGUAACUGCUCUCAAGGUGACGGUACCUGAGAAGAAAGCCCCGGCUAACUACGUGCCAGCAGCCGCGGUAAUACGUAGGGGGCAAGCGUUGUCCGGAAUUAUUGGGCGUAAAGCGCGCGCAGGCGGUCAUUUAAGUCUGGUGUUUAAUCCCGGGGCUCAACCCCGGAUCGCACUGGAAACUGGGUGACUUGAGUGCAGAAGAGGAGAGUGGAAUUCCACGUGUAGCGGUGAAAUGCGUAGAUAUGUGGAGGAACACCAGUGGCGAAGGCGACUCUCUGGGCUGUAACUGACGCUGAGGCGCGAAAGCGUGGGGAGCAAACAGGAUUAGA